Molecule: long non-coding RNA, 2526 nt
Organism: Chenopodium quinoa (quinoa)
Lineage: Eukaryota; Viridiplantae; Streptophyta; Magnoliopsida; Caryophyllales; Amaranthaceae
Exons: 4
Source: RefSeq, a predicted model, not a curated record
UAAUAAUGUUAUUUGUGUCACUCAUUUAGUGACAAGUGACGCAAAUGAGUGAUAGAAUUAAAAUGCGUCACUCCUUUAACUAAUGAGCGACGCAAAUAAUAAUGUGCAGCAUUAUACUUUUAAUUAUUUGCGUCACUUGUUAUUUCUGAUUCACUUGCUAGCUGCCUCCCUUUUACCACUCCUAUCUUCCAAGACAGCGAUUUCCAAGAGCUAAACACCCAGAAAUUCGAGCAAAAAACCCCAGAAAUUCGACCCAGCACACACCCCAAGAAAUUCGAGCAAAAAUCACCCAGAAAUUCAAGGAAAUUCGACCCUAAAACCCCCAGAAAAUUGACCCAAAACCCCCCAGAAAAUCGACCCAAAAAUCCCCAGAAAUUCGACCAAAAAAACCCCCACAAAUUCAAUAACCAAACCGCAAUCAAAUCAACACCCAUAAUCGGAAAAAAUUCAGAGCUACAAUCCCCCAAUUUCGAGCAAAACACCAAAAAAAACCCCCAGAAAAAUUGAGCAAAUUCUGGGCAUUAAUUCGAGCACAUUCGAUCAAAAUAAUCGAGCAUUAAUUUGAGCAAAUUCGAGCAAAAAAAUCGAAUCAAAACCCCAUGAAUUCGAACCCUAGAAACCCCAAAAAAUUCGAGCAAAAUUACUGUCCUCAUAGUCGACCAAUGUUGGGAAUUUUUGAGUUUGUGAAGUCGAUUUCACCUAAGGUUGAUUAUGAGUACAACAUGUCAACUGAUACCAACCCAUAGCAGUUCGACCGUGUUCGCUCCUCCAAAUCAACUGCAUUUAGGCUCGACAUUGUUGAAUUUGUGAAGUCGAUUUCACCUAAGAUUCUUAAUUAUGCGAAAGUGAAUUCCACAAGUUGCUCGAGGUUCUGGUUGUGGACAAACGAUUAAGGCAGUAGUACCUAUCACCACAAGUUGGUUUGGAAUAGCAAGUAAAACUACCCAUACAUGCCAAGAAAAUUCAUCUAACUUCUAAAUAUUUCACUGGGAAUCCGUGAGAGAAAUCAUUCCCAUCUGUGCUCAAUUUAUCUGGUUUGUUUUCUUGUAUCAAAGGUGAUUCUUGGGAUCAGUUUGUUUUUUUAAGGGGUUUUUUUUUCUUGUUAAUAUAAGAGAUAUUUUAUAGUAUUGAAAUGACAAAAGCACAUCUUUGGCACACUUACAAUAAAUGACUACUAAUGUUUUGGAUAAAGCUUGUCAUUCGAAAGCUAAUAUAAAUUGCCAUUUAUGUUACAUUGUUACGAGUAUCACAUAUUACCAGUUCUUGAAGAAGUAGGAAAUUUAAACAUGCUGCACUCUUUGAUGUUAAGACUAUUAAGUGGUGGCUAGUUGGCUACACUUGAAUACUCUUAUUCAUCUUUGCUUCCAUGCCAUUUCAGAUUGCAGAUGUGUGGUCUUGUGGGGUAACUUUGUAUGUAAUGUUGGUCGGGGCUUACCCAUUUGAGGACCCUGAGGAACCCAAAAUUUUUUGCAAAACAAUACAUGUAAGUCAUUUACUAUUUUAUAUACCAAGGUGGUGGCUUCUUUGGUUGCCUGUCUGACCCUUAGUGAUUUCUGCUAUGUCACUAAAUAAUUAUCUUAAAUUAUAGCAUGGUGAUACAUUAGAUAGUUUUGCCUCACUUUAGAUAGUAGUUGUUGCUGUGUACUCUAAUCAUUCAUCUUUCCCAUGACCAUACUUUGAGCACUAUGGCCCAUUUUUUUUUAUCUUCCUUUUUUUUCCAAGGUCAAUAGUUAUAAUUAGUGGAGUUUUGGUUUAUGAGUGAUUUUAUCGAUAUUUUAUAGUGAGUCAUUUUAUGCGAUAUUUGAUGUCUAAUGAUAAUUACAUCAAUUAAGAGAGACUAGCAUUGCCAUUUUGCGUUGCGUCUUGUGUGCAACAGGAUAUCCACAAGACCACAACCUUCUUAAGAUCAAGAAACAUUGAAUAUUAAUUUAUUCACAAAUUUAUCAUAGAUUAUGAAGGCUUGUGUGUAUAAAUACUACCCUUUUUCUUGUUCAAGAAUAUGUGAAUUUUCUUUUUUUUUGGCGGUAUGUGGUUGGUUAAUACUUAAUAUCUUAUUACAAUCAUUUUGCAUAAGAUUGAAGAACUAAUUUGUUCAGUUUAUUAUUUGGAGUUUAAAGCUGUUAUAGGUCCUUCUACUGUUGGAGUUAUGAGAGCAGGAGCCUUCAAGAUUGGUGAAUCGCUGGGACUAUUGACAACAUUGUCUAGUGCAAGCUUUCCACCGUAUACCGAGGAGGAGAUAAAUGAGAUUCGAGAUAUUUGGGCAGAGUAUUUUAUAUGUAAUGUUGAACUUUAGAUUUACACUUAGCGCAUGUUGGACUCUUGUUUUGGAUUAUAGGCUUGACAUGAAUGAUUUUGGUUAAUUGGUAUUGGGAUGAUGAGUAUAAUGUCUAUGAUAUUGAGAUGUAAAUUAUUGGACAGGUUGUUAAUAUAAUGCCAUCAUUCCCAAUUUUAUGGGUAGGCCAAAAUACAAAGGAGACUCUACCGAAAUUUACAUUUGCAUUCAAUAAUAUUGCAUUUUAAUUUCAA